AGCGAACGCUGGCGGCAGGCUUAACACAUGCAAGUCGAACGGGCGUAGCAAUACGUCAGUGGCAGACGGGUGAGUAACGCGUGGGAACGUGCCUUUUGGUUCGGAACAACUGAGGGAAACUUCAGCUAAUACCGGAUAAGCCCUUACGGGGAAAGAUUUAUCGCCAAAAGAUCGGCCCGCGUCUGAUUAGCUAGUUGGUGAGGUAAUGGCUCACCAAGGCGACGAUCAGUAGCNGGUCUGAGAGGAUGAUCAGCCACACUGGGACUGAGACACGGCCCAGACUCCUACGGGAGGCAGCAGUGGGGAAUAUUGGACAAUGGGCGCAAGCCUGAUCCAGCCAUGCCGCGU
RNAcentral lists this ribosomal RNA (348 nucleotides) under uncultured bacterium. Its description in RNAcentral is "bacterial SSU rRNA". It matches the Rfam family "Bacterial small subunit ribosomal RNA", at positions 29 to 402 of the family's 1533-position model. The record is from RNAcentral.